RNAcentral lists this long non-coding RNA (8289 nucleotides) under Sus scrofa (pig). Its description in RNAcentral is "lncRNA (ENSSSCG00050007983.1)". Lineage: Eukaryota; Metazoa; Chordata; Mammalia; Artiodactyla; Suidae. The record is from RNAcentral.
CUGAGCAUGGACCCAUGAGGCUGAUGGAGGAAAAAUAAGGUUUACAAUAUAUACAUAUUUAGAUCCAGGACCUUGGCUCUGGAAAAAUUUUUCUACUUUCACAUGAACAAAGGCUUGAUAGAGAUUUUCCCAAGGUAUCAACAGAACUUUUAAUUAAAUUACUAAUAAUUCAUUGAGAAGCUAAAAAAUCAUUUUUAAGCUAUCAGUAACAGAAGGAAAAUAAAAUGGUUUUGGCCAUGGCUACAUCACACACAGGGAUCCAGGUCAGGAAUCAAACCUGUGCCAUGUCAGUGACAAUGCUGGAUCUUUAAACUUCUGAGCUACCAGGGAACUCCGAGAAGAUAAAGGUUUAUUAAUCAUACUCCACGAGAGAAUGAAUUAAGCUGUCUAGCAUCUUUGCAAAAGAGGCAAAGAAGUUGAAGCUAAACAUGUAGGCACAACUUGUAGAGAUGGGUCUGUAAGGAUUUGAUAGAUGUGUUUAUUUUCCUUUGUUUUAUAAUGUUUGUGGUAUUUAUAAUGUUUGUGGUAUUCAACAUGCCUACUUUUACAUGUUGAAAUCUGUGGCAAUUUAUUUUUUCACUCCAAAUAUUUACUUUUAUACUUAAUUUUUAUCUGUAAUUUUAUAUUUUUUUCUUAUAGUGUGACCCCCAAAAUGCUUGGAGUCCCACAGCCUGGAUCUGCCCCAUCUCCAAUAAUCAUUUUAUUUUGUUUUAUUUUAUUUGUCUUUUUAGGGCCAUAUCCACGGCAUAUGGAGGUUCCCAGGCUAGGGGUCAAAUUGGAGCUGUAGCUGCUGGCCUACACCACAGCCACAGCAACGCCAGAUCCAACCUGCAUUUGCAAUCCACACCACAGCUCAAGACAAUGCCAGAUCCUUACCUCGCUGAGCGAGGCCAGGGAUUGAACCUGUGUCCUCUUGGUUGCUUGUUAGAUUUGUUUCCACUGAGCCAUGAAGGGGAACUCCAAUCAUCAUUUUAUUUAAAAUGAGAAAAUAUCCAUAGAGGAUCGACUCCGAGAACGAAGGAGGAAGACAAGUCCCUCCUCUAGAAUGUCCUCAGUGCCUACUGUUGGCAAAACUUAUUAUCUGCCGGCUGCCCUUGAGAAAUGUUUUAAAGCUCCAUUGUCACAGAGCAGGUAAAGAAGAGUGGAGCUGAGAGGCAAUAAAUUGGCCAGCGUAUGGAACUUUUUAUGGUAGCAGGAACUAUGUAGGGAUUUUGAAAAUGCUGCCUAUAAUGUUGAUGAUGACCAUGAUGACAGUGAUGGAUGGUGACGGGGGAGGGGGGGAUGAUUAAUGGCUGUUUCUUUUAUUCCUGUAGACCAAACUAAAUCCAUUAACUACCUUGGUAUAUUUUUCUGACAUAUCAAAGAUUUCUUCUUUAUCUGUUCUCAAAAUUGCACCGACUACAAUUUAGACUUCAUCUCGAUCUAACCUCACUGCACAAUGAGAACCUCUGGUCAGCAUUUAUCCUACAUUUCUUCAUGUGGUCAAUGUCUGGGAUGACUCUAUUUUAUCAACCAAAAAUCAGAGCAUGCAGUUUUUUCUAGUUUAUAUAUUUAUGGUAUUAUAUAAUAUGUUCUUUAAAGCAUGAUACAAGUAUCCUGUUAAUUUGGAUUUAUUUGUAGUCUUAAUUGCCUGUGGUAUAGAAAGUACAUGAAAAUUGAGUAUGUAUUUUGAGGAAAUAUGUUGUGUAUAUAUAAAAGUACAGGAAAAUUGUACUGGAAAAUUAAGGAUGGUGCUAUGUAGAAUAUUAUUUGUCUAGUCUUUAGUAAUUAUGUUUGCUGGUGUGUUUUUUCAUUUAAAAGUUAGCUUUGAAAUUGAUGGCUCCAGACGUAUUUCAUGUUCAAGAUAAAGAUUGGAAACACAUUUGUGUAAUAUACCUUAAGAAUUAUUCAACAGAGCAGGAAGCAAAUCAUAACUAUGCUUGUAUGAUGUUUUAUCUAUUUAUAUGGCAAGUAUACUGUUUUUAGAUGUCUCUAAUUACUUUCAUUCUUCAGGUGUAUCUUCCUAGUUCAAAUCAGUUUCUUUCCUUCUUUUACUCUCUUCAUUUGUCUUUUUUUUUUUUUUUCCCACAGUCAGGUUGCUCAAUUCCAAGACAAAGGGCUCUUUGAUAAUGGGCUAGAAAAAAGGGUUAAAGAAUGGUUUAGAACUAAUUCGAGAAAGAACAAUCCAAUUCCCACUUGGAAAAGGACACAAGCUGAAUCAUACGGGACUGUGGAGCCUGGGGAGGAAAUUUUUACCUUUUUCAGUGCCUUCUACCUACCCAUCAUGUCAUUCUCCCCACCUUUGGUAACAAUCAGAUACGAAGUGGAAUAGAUUUGUCAUAUGGUGUUGUAUCCCAGUGUAUACUGACAGCAAUCAUGUGGCUAUUAGUUUUUUAAAGUCAUUAAAUGACCACUCACCCUAAUUUUGGGCUCUCUUAAGAUUAAAGUUUCUACAGGGAGAAAUUAGAAACCACAGGGUUACACAAUAGGUGGGCAGGAGAGAUCCUCAGAGAUAGGCUAGGACUCUUUCUUAUUAGUCUUAUUUCUGAGUGUAAAGGGAAGUUACUUACUGUUAUGCACAGUUGCCUUUAAGUGAAUUUUAAGAUUCCUUAGGUUUUAUUUAUGAUGUCCUCUUUUCAAUUCCAUUUGAAUUUAUUGCGGUAAUUCAAAAGCAGUACAUGUAACUCGAGUUGAAUAUUAAAAAUAGAAUGCAAAGGCACAAUAUUUUAUAAGGCAUCAUAUAAUUAAUUGUGAAGAAUAUUUAUGUAGCAUGUAGCUGUGCUAGGUAUUUAUUACAUGAUAGAGUUGUUGAGUUGCCUUUAAAUGAAAGUAGCUCAAGUGCUUGAGUACUGUUUUUAGAAGAGUAGCCCACUCAUUUGGAAUGUUGCUCUGGUUUAGAUAAAUAGGUCCCAGUGUAGAUUUUUUAUUUGCCUUUUUAGGGCCACACCCACAGCAUUCAGCGUAUGUGCAAACUGUCUUUGAUGGUAAAGAAAAUGUCAUACUAAGUAUUAGUUUGAAGUAAGAAAUAAAAUCUUAAAAUGAUAAGAGCACAUGUAACUAGACAAAAGCAUUACAUUAUCAAAUAUUUGUUAUAAAACAUACUAAAAUAGAAAAUCAGAUGUACCAUAAACACUUAAAAUAUGGCUACAUUGGAAAUCUGGAGAUGGAAAUCUAAGGGAUUUAUUUGACUAUUUUUAUUCAAAUGAUUUCUGUUAAGCUCUUUACAAAAUUUCUAUUCAAACCAUGAAUAAAUUGUAGUACUUGAGUUCCCAAAUACUGCAAGACUUACAAAAAUAUCAGCAUAUUCACAUCCUUGUUAAAUUCAUCCUACUAAGGUCUAGUGACUGCCAAAGCAUACAGCAAUAUUAUGAUAAAUCUACUGAGGGGAAUUUGGGAAUGUAUAUAGUAUAGUUGAAGAAAAUGAUUUAUAUAUGACAUAGGACAAAAAAAGUUGAGCUAUUAAAAGCUAAAUACUCUCCAAAAGAUUCUAAUUCUAUAGCAAAUUAUUUGAGGUCCCAUAAUAUGCUAAUUUAAUUUGUAUAUGUAUAAAAAUUUUGAAUUGACAUUCAUUGAAUAAUUAGACUUUUCAUAAAUAGUCUUAGAUAAAAUAACAAUAACCCUUUUUUCCACCAAAACCCCCUAACCCCUUAAGGGUGCUCAAUUUAAUUUUAUUUUAAAACUUUUAAGAAUGUUUACUCUCAUCUUCAAUUCUGUUCCAAAGUAAUAAAAACGUAAAUCCACAAUGUGUUUAUUUUUUCCUCCUCCAAAUCUCUGCGUGAUUCUAUUGUUAGUCAUCUGAUUAAAAAUGUACACCAGCUUUGUUUUCUUUUUUUAAUCAAGCAGUCCCAUACUGUUCCUGAAGAGAAAACAGGCUGUUGGCAAGUCUAGUCUACUAUUGGAGAUUUAAAGGCAACUUGAAACACAGCAAGAAAUUAUAACAUUACUCAGAGACUAUUAAAAAUAAUUUAAACUUAAAAAGAUGAAGAAAAAGUGUAAUAAGAAUAUUAAAAUGCAUGGUAUAUAAACCUCUGCCCUGCCACAAGUAGACCAGAAAUCAGUACUAAGCUUUGUAACAGUUAACUGAGAAAUUGUAACCUGAACAAUUCCAUAGUUCACAGAAUUGGUGUUUAAAAAUAGACCAAUUGUUUAAGAGGUACAAUUAUUUUGUAUACUAAUCCCGGAAAGAAAUUUCUUGCAAGAUUUCUCAUUAAGAGAAUAAUGUAAACAACAUCCUCUGUGAGAUUCCUACAGGAGAGUUCAGAAGGUCCACUUAAAAAAAUUACGUACUAAUUAUUUAAUAAUUAUUAUGAGCUUUGUAUUAAUGUAUGUAAAUUAAUGUAUAAAUGUGAUAAUUAACCAUACAAAUGUAUGAAUUAUUAAGUGUAUGCUAUAUUUUCUUAGAGUACUACAACAAAGCAGAGGAUAGAGAGGUAAUCUUAUUUUCUAUGGAAGCGCAUAGCAUAAAUAACAUGAACCAGCAGUGGCUUUAAUAGACACCUGGUCGUUCUAUUUGUUGCCAAGCAGAGGGGGAGGGGUUCAGGUGCACACUCCAAAUCAAAAGUCAUCACUUGGCAAACUAUCCAUACAGUUGCCUUAUAAUUUAUGAUCUUAUGCAGUAAGUUAGCUCAUUUAGUUCUCUAAGUAUAUAUUUUGCAAUCGUUUCUCAACUGUACAGAGAAUGGCAUGCUAUUCAAGAUUAACUACUCAAAGGGUUUUUUCCUGAUUCUUUAAAAAAAAUAAAAAAGCCAAAGGCCAUGCAAGAUUGGUUUGCUUGUGUAGAUAAUUUUUAGGCUUUUUUUUUUUUGCCAUCUACCCUCUGCUGGAGAAUUUUGGGGAGUUAUUGGUUCUUUCCUCUGUAUAUACAAAAUUACAUCCUGAGGAACUACUUCUUGAAUCUUCCUGUAGGGAGUGAGAAGCUUUCUAGUCACCCUCCAUCCUGUUGGGCAAACACAUCGACUUUCCUGAGAGGAUGUUAGUUCAUCCCAAUUUAGACAUAUGGUCCCAAGCUAAUGCAGAGAUAGCUGUACUUCAAGUAACUAUUAAAGGAUAUACCUUAAGGUCCUUGCUGUUCCAAUUUUAUGUGAUGCUCACUUGAACAAAAGUGUCUUUAUAAACACAGUACACUCAUAUCACUAAAAGGAUAUGUGGUCCAGCUGAGAACUGCAUUAAUUGACUGCUUGUUGCUGUUGGCCCCUCAUAUUAUUGUUUUUAUUGAAUUGCCUCUUUAGGGCAAUGCCUCAGCGUACAGUGAGUCAUUUUGUAAGAAAACAGUCUUACGAAACAUGCUGCUGUUGGGUUUGUUUCAUCAGCUAGUGCCAUCUUCAUGAGCGCUAGUGGGAGAAGUGUCUGUAGGAUUUCAAAAAUAAUAAAGCCUGUCCUGGGCCACAUUUUCCUGUGAGUAAGGUACCCGAAUGGACGACAUCUGAAGCCUGGGCAUCCUGGCUCUGUCGUCUAAGACCUCCUUUGCACCAGAUGCCAGAAAAGGUAGGGUCAAUAUAUGACCUUCUAGCAAAGGUCCAGAUCCAUAGGCAGCUUGUGUUCUCACUUCAGUCCUGGCUUCACCUAAUUUCUUCUGUUGUCAUUUUCCCCUUGAUUCCAUUUUUUAUCCUCUUAGUUUUUAUCUUUUCUUAGUAUAGUGUAUGGAUUUUGAAAGCUCCCUUAAAUAAUUUAUGGAAGCGAGUGUGAGAGUUUUGAGAACAGUGAAGGCCUUGACCUUUCAUUGUUCCAUGUCCUCUGAGUCCAGGGAAUCCUGUGUUCUUUAAGCUGUCCCCAUAUGCAGUCAGAUGGCACUCAAGAUUUGCUACUCUUCCCUCUACAGGCCUUUUCUGUCCUGAUAAAAUAUUUUACCACCUUCCCCAGGGAGGACAUGAAACAUGGUUGCUGUUGCAGAUGACUUGUGCUCUGCUUUUUAAGCAUAUAAAUUUUCAUUUGGAUUUAUUUAUUUAUUUGCUUUUUAGGGCUGCACUUGCAGCAUAUGGAGGUUCCCAGGUGGCCCAAUCAGAGCUUCAGCUGCCAGCCUAUGCCACAGCCACAGCCACGUGGGAUCCCGGCCAUAUCUGUGACCUACACCACAGCUCACAGCAACGCUGGAACCUUAACCCACUGAGUGAGCCAGGAAUCAAACUGGCAACCUCAUGGUUCCCAGUCGAACUCAUUUCCACUAUGCCAUGAUGGGAACGCCUAAGCAUAUAGAUUUUAAUAUGAAAUGAAAGAUCUGAACUCUUCUUCUCUGAAAUGAACACACUCAUUUAAUUUAAAAAAUGGAAUGUUUACAUAAUUAUCUUGAUAAGAGUUGACAGCAAAGCAGAAAUUCUGAGAAAUGCUAGUACUAAAUAUUGUCAGUAAACUCAUUUCUCCUUUGUCUGAAAAUGCUUCUUACUUAAAUGGCAUAGUGGAGAUUCAGUAUAUCCUGAGUCGCUUUAGCAUUCCUACUUUUUGAAUAACUAAGAUGAAUGUGGGAAAAUCAUCUUGAUGAGGUUAUCGUUCAUUCACUGGUCCAUUUAUUCCUACGGUCAGUAACUUCUCUGUACCCUCUGCCAUUCGAGGUAUUGAAGAUUCAGUGAUGAAAUUCAAAAAUCCUUGCCGUCCUGGAAAUUAUAUUCUAGUCAGGGAGAAGAUAAUUAAACAUAGCAGUGGAUUCAUAAACAACCAAGUGAGAUAAUUUAGCAGAUGGUUGUAAGCCUAAGCUAUGAAGAAAAAGAGGUGGCUAAGUGUAGUCAUGAGUUUGGUUAGGGGAAUGAGGACAGGCCAGUGACCUUUGGUAUGAGACCCAAACUAUGAGAGGGAGCCAGGCACACAAAGAUCUGGGGCAAGAAUCUUUUGAGCAAAGAGAACAACCAGUUCAAAGGAUCUGAGAGGGGAACAGGUUUGCAUGAUCGGGGGCCAGGGAAUUCAGUAUGGUUUGAGGACAGCGAUGUCAGAAGCGAAAUAGGCCAGGAGGAGGAGGGGCAGGCAGAGGGUAGGCCACUUGGGGUCCUGAGCUACACAAGUAUUAUCUGUGGGGACCUUGAGAAAGUCACGUAACAUUAUCUUGGGCUCAGUUUCCAGAAGCAUAUGGGGAGGAGAAAAUCUACUUCCUAGGCUUAAUUGAAGAGAUUUUGCAUGUUAAUCAAUGGUAAGUGCUUGGUAGAAUGCCUGGCACUUAGAAUUAUUUGUGUUAUCUUUUAUUAUUAUGUACAUAAGAAUGGUAUGAUUUUCCUCUAGCUAACAGUUUAUUGCCCUAAUAGACUUUUAAAGCUAUAAGAGACUUGCGUAGUCAUAUCCAAUCUGGACAUUUUACAGAUGAGCUUUUCAUUCAGAGAGGCCCAGUGGCUACGCAAGUUCCCACCAGUGAGUAAAUGUUUAGACUAGAAACUCAGCCUCUUGACUCUCAGCAAGAGCUUUCUCUAUUAGGUGGUGUUGGCCUAUAUGUAUAAACCUAAUGGCUUAGAAUUAGCUUCCUUAGUAUUUGCCUUAUGGGAUUAUAUUUGGAAAGGUAUUAUUGAACCUGAUUUUUUUUUUUUUUUUUUUUUUUGUAGAGACUGAGAUAGUUACCAUGUUGGUAGUAAAUUUAUAAGCCAAUGAUUUACUGAUAAUUAAAAUAUAUUUGAAAGUAAUUUAAAUUUCACAUUAUUCUGUUUUAAUUCCCUGAUUAACCACAGAUUCAAAUAUCCCAUUUGUAGCUUUAGCAUUUAUAAUUUUGCUAGAUAGAUCUAGCAAAAUUAUUUUAUUAUACCAUUCAUUCAUUUAUUCAUUUAUUACCUCCACAAUCUUUCUCUUCCCCGUACCCAAUAUGAAAACCUGCCCUCAUGGAAUUUAUACUACUUGAGAGAAGCAGAUAAUGAGCACAUGAAUAAACUAACAAAUGACUUAAAAGGUAAUUGCAGAGCAGUCCCCAAAAUAUAUUAAAAUGGGGAAAUCAAGCAAUCAGUGAUUUGUUGUUAUAAUAGAUAGGAAUGUUGUCAGUUCUCUAGCCUCACAACCUACCAAUAAACAGAGUAAUGGUUUAUAUAAAUUCAAAUGCAGUUAUGUACAUGGUAUUACUGAACAGUGGGGUUUAAAUUAAUAUAUAGCAUAGUCUUUGUUAAAGAAUCAGUAUAUAGGGAGUUCCCAUUGUGGCACAGUGGAAACAAAUCUGACUAGGAACCAUGAGGUUUCAGGUUCGAUCCCUGGCCUUGCUCAGUGGGUUAAGGAUCUGGCAUUGCUGUGAGCUGUGGUGUAGGUCACAAAUGCGGCUCGGAUCUGGUGUUGCUGUGGCUGUGGUGUAGGCCAACAGCUACAGCUCUGAUUCAACCCCUAGCCUGGGAACCUCCAUAUGCCGUGGGAGCGGUC